RNAcentral lists this ribosomal RNA (468 nucleotides) under uncultured Pelagibacterales bacterium. RNAcentral's name for it is "bacterial SSU rRNA". It matches the Rfam family "Bacterial small subunit ribosomal RNA", at positions 89 to 591 of the family's 1533-position model. Lineage: Bacteria; Pseudomonadati; Pseudomonadota; Alphaproteobacteria; Candidatus Pelagibacterales. The record is from RNAcentral.
UACUUAGUGGCAGACGGGUGAGUAACAUGUGGGUAUCUACCCUUUGGCCUGGAAUAACACGAGGAAACUUGUGCUAAUACCGGAUAAGUCUUUACGGAGAAAGCUUUAUGCACCAUUGGAUGAGCCCGCACUUGAUUAGUUUGUUGGUAGGGUAAUGGCCUACCAAGACUAUGAUCAAUAGCUGAUUUGAGAGGAUGAUCAGCCACAUUGGGACUGAGACACGGCCCAAACUCCUACGGGAGGCAGCAGUGGGGAAUCUUGCACAAUGGAGGAAACUCUGAUGCAGCGAUGCCGCGUGAGUGAAGAAGGCCUUUGGGUUGUAAAGCUCUUUCGUCGGGGAAGAAAAUGACUGUACCCGAAUAAGAAGGUCCGGCUAACUUCGUGCCAGCAGCCGCGGUAAUACGAAGGGACCUAGCGUAGUUCGGAAUUACUGGGCUUAAAGAGUUCGUAGGUGGUUGAAAAAGUCCG